RNAcentral lists this long non-coding RNA (742 nucleotides) under Hordeum vulgare. Its description in RNAcentral is "long non-coding RNA (HVUL_LNC009127)". The record is from RNAcentral. Lineage: Eukaryota; Viridiplantae; Streptophyta; Magnoliopsida; Poales; Poaceae.
UAAUCCCUCUACUUCUCUCUAGAUCUGUUUCUCCUCUAGUCUAGUUCAGCGGUGCUUAGGCAAAGCCCUGCUGGAUUAAUUCACCACCACCACCACCAUGCCGCCGUGUUGAAGAACUCAUCUACCUCUCCAUCCCUCUUGCUGGAUCAAGAAGGUGGGGAUCGUCAUCGAGCUGGACGUGUGCUGAACGAGGAGGUGUCGUCCGUUUGGUGCUAGAUGGGGAUGGAUCGUGAUGGGAUCACGAGACGGAUCAUGAUGAGAUCGUGGGACGGGCUGCGAUUUGGAUCGCGAAGAUGUUCCACUACAUCAACCGCGUUAUAUACGAUUCCGCUUAGCGAUCUACAAGGGCAUGUAGAUUCACUCUCCCCUCUCGUAGAUGAUCCUCACCAUGGAUAGGUAUUGCGUGUGCGUAGGAAAUUUUUUGUUUAACAUGCAACGUUCCCCAACAUGCUAACAACCCACAACAGCGGAACUGAUGAACCAUAGAAUCAAGCUCAUACUUCCUAUUCUUAGCUAGCACAUUAAUCAUGACCUUGCAUGCACAGGAUGUGCGUCACAUUGUGCUGAUGCGCAGUAUUGAUGACAAAGUCCAUGACGAAACCAUACCUAGAAUGAUGGUGUCACGAUACGUUAGUAGUGCGGAGAGGGGAAGGUGAUGAUGGAAAUUAAAGGCCAAAGAUGCGGAACAUGGAGAAAAAGGAGGAAACACGCUUGGUCGGUCGCCUGGCUUGCCGUGUUUUUU